GAGACUUUUACACCUUUAAUGUGGCUGACAUAACAGAUCCAGAAAGUUUUUACUGUGUGAUUGAAAAUGCUCUCGGUAAUCAGACGUCAUCGCCAAUUCCUGUGAACAAAGCAGAUGAACUGAGGACUGAACUCGUCUUCAAAACACUGAUGAUCCUUCAGGUUGUAUCUCUCUACUGUACAAUCGUCAUCUUUGAGUGCUGGUUCAGAUGGAGACAUUACCGCAAACAAGUGAAGGACUCACCAGAAGCAGAUGACGUCAAAGUGAUUGAAAGUCCAGCAUAAUGGGCCACAAGGAGAAAAUCAAGACGUUAAAUCCAUCAUCAGUGACCUGCUUUAUUAAUUCUGAUCAU
Salarias fasciatus (jewelled blenny) is the source of this 352-nucleotide long non-coding RNA. RefSeq lists it as uncharacterized. The record is from RefSeq and is a predicted model, not a curated record. Lineage: Eukaryota; Metazoa; Chordata; Actinopteri; Blenniiformes; Blenniidae. The transcript is spliced from 4 exons.